GGAUAUGAACCAUUGAGUGCGCUCACGGGCUGUUCGCACCUCUGGUGCUGCCCUCCGCGAGGGCGCCGGAUGACCGGCGACGGCCUUCGGCACUGUAUUGGCGAGCGUUACUUGACGUAGAGUUUGUCGAGAUCGGGCCUGUAGCUCAGUUGGUUAGAGCACACGCNUGAUAAGCGUGGG
This 180-nucleotide unclassified non-coding RNA is filed under the name uncultured Rhizobiaceae bacterium. RNAcentral describes it as "partial 16S-23S ribosomal RNA intergenic spacer". Lineage: Bacteria; Pseudomonadati; Pseudomonadota; Alphaproteobacteria; Hyphomicrobiales; Rhizobiaceae. The record is from RNAcentral.